This 337-nucleotide ribosomal RNA is filed under the name Euparatettix bimaculatus. RNAcentral's name for it is "partial 12S ribosomal RNA". Lineage: Eukaryota; Metazoa; Arthropoda; Insecta; Orthoptera; Tetrigidae. The record is from RNAcentral.
CUAUUGUUUUGCCAGGGUAGUAUUUUUUUUUUGAUUGAAACCUAAAGAAUUUGGCGGCAUUUUAUCUUUUUAGAGGAACCUGUUUCGUGAAUGAUGUUACACGAUUGGCAUUACUUACUUUAUUUGUUUGUAUAUUUCCGUUAUCAGAAUAUUUAUAGAUAAUAUUUUCAUAAUUUUUUAUUAAAUUUUAUUUCAGGUCAAGGUGCAGCUUAUAGGUAAGAGUUUAAUGGGUUACAAUAAUUUAAUUUAUAUGGAUGUUUUUUUAAAUAUUAAAUUGAAGGUGGAUUUAUUAGUAAGUUUUUAUAAUUAUUAAAUCUGAAUUAGUAUUGAAUUGUGC